GCUGCAGUAGCUCAGUAGGUAGAGCACGUGCAUGGUAAGCACGAGGUCACCGGUUCAAUUCCGGUCUGCAGCUCCA
Molecule: transfer RNA, 76 nt
Filed under: Candidatus Omnitrophota bacterium
Lineage: Bacteria; Pseudomonadati; Candidatus Omnitrophota
Description: tRNA-Thr
Rfam family: tRNA
About the family: Transfer RNA (tRNA) molecules are approximately 80 nucleotides in length. Their secondary structure includes four short double-helical elements and three loops (D, anti-codon, and T loops).
Source: RNAcentral